This 429-nucleotide ribosomal RNA is filed under the name uncultured bacterium. RNAcentral's name for it is "bacterial SSU rRNA". It matches the Rfam family "Bacterial small subunit ribosomal RNA", at positions 355 to 776 of the family's 1533-position model. The record is from RNAcentral.
UUAGGAAUAUUCGUCAAUGGGGGAAACCCUGAACGAGCAAUGCCGCGUGAGUGAUGACGGUCCUUUGGAUUGUAAAACUCUGUUGUAAGGGAAGAACACUUAGUGUAGGAAAUGACAUUGAGCUGACGGUACCUUACCAGAAAGCCCCGGCUAACUACGUGCCAGCAGCCGCGGUAAUACGUAGGGGGCGAGCGUUAUCCGGAUUUAUUGGGCGUAAAGCGUGUGUAGGCGGUUUAUUAAGUAUAAGAUAAAAGCCCGAAGCUCAACUUCGGUUCGUCUUAUAAACUGGUAGACUUGAGUAUGGUAGAGGCAAAUGGAAUUUCUAGUGUAGCGGUAAAAUGCGUAGAUAUUAGAAGGAACACCAGUGGCGAAGGCGAUUUGCUGGGCCAUUACUGACGCUGAGACACGAAAGCGUGGGGAGCAAAUAGG